This 83-nucleotide transfer RNA is filed under the name archaeon ADurb.Bin336. Its description in RNAcentral is "tRNA-Leu". The record is from RNAcentral.
GCAGGGGUACAGAAUUGGAAAACUGACUAGGUUGAGGUCCUAGGCCUUAGUGGCUGUGAGAGUUCGAUCCUCUCCCCUUGCAC